CCUACGGGAGGCAGCAGUGGGGAAUAUUGCACAAUGGGCGAAACCCUGAUGCAGCAACGCCGCGUGAAUGAAGAAGUCUUUCGGGUUGUAAAGCUCUAUCAGUAGGGAAGAAGAACGACUGUACCUUACUAAGAAGCCCCGGCUAAGUACGUGCCAGCAGCCGCGGUAAUACGUAGGGGGCAAGCGUUAUCCGGAUUUACUGGGUGUAAAGGGAUCGUAGUCGGCUGUGCAAGUCUGAAGUGAAAGCCCGUGGCUCAACCGCGGAACUGCAUUGGAGACUGGAUAGCUUGAGUACUGUAGAGGGAGGCGGAAGUCCUGGUGUAGCGGUGAAAUGCGUAGAGAUCAGGAGGAACACCAGUGGCGAAGGCGGCCUGCUGGACAGAAACUGACGUUGAGGUUCGAAAGCGUGGGGAGCAAACAGGAUUAGAUACCCGGGUAGUC
Molecule: ribosomal RNA, 441 nt
Filed under: uncultured bacterium
Lineage: Bacteria
Description: partial 16S ribosomal RNA
Rfam family: Bacterial small subunit ribosomal RNA
Source: RNAcentral